This 498-nucleotide ribosomal RNA is filed under the name uncultured bacterium. RNAcentral describes it as "partial 16S ribosomal RNA". It matches the Rfam family "Bacterial small subunit ribosomal RNA", at positions 28 to 523 of the family's 1533-position model. The record is from RNAcentral.
GAUGAACGCUAGCGGCAGGCCUAAUACAUGCAAGUCGAACGGGAUUGAGGAGCUUGCUCCUCAUGAGAGUGGCGCACGGGUGCGUAACACGUAUGUAACCUACCUUAAUCAGGGGGAUGGCCUCUCGAAAGAGAGAUUAACACCGCAUAAAAUCACACUAUGGCAUCAUAGAAUGAUCAAAUAUUUAUAGGAUUAAGAUGGGCAUGCGGAACAUUAGCUAGUUGGUAAGGUAACGGCUUACCAAGGCUACGAUGUUUAGGGGAUCUGAGAGGAUGGCCCCCCACACUGGUACUGAGACACGGACCAGACUCCUACGGGAGGCAGCAGUAAGGAAUAUUGGUCAAUGGACAGAAGUCUGAACCAGCCAUGCCGCGUGCAGGAAGACGGCCCUACGGGUUGUAAACUGCUUUUGUACCGGAAUAAACCUCUUUACGUGUAAGGAGCUGAAUGUACGGUAAGAAUAAGGAUCGGCUAACUCCGUGCCAGCAGCCGCAGUAA